GACGAACGCUGGCGGCGUGCCUAAUACAUGCAAGUUGAGCGAUGAAGAUUGGUGCUUGCACCAAUUUGAAGAGCAGCGAACGGGUGAGUAACGCGUGGGGAAUCUGCCUUUGAGCGGGGGACAACAUUUGGAAACGAAUGCUAAUACCGCAUAAUAACUUUAAACAUAAGUUUUAAGUUUGAAAGAUGCAAUUGCAUCACUCAAAGAUGAUCCCGCGUUGUAUUAGCUAGUUGGUGAGGUAAAGGCUCACCAAGGCGAUGAUACAUAGCCGACCUGAGAGGGUGAUAGGCCACAUUGGGGCUGAGACACGGCCCAAACUCCUACGGGAGGCAGCAGUAGGGAAUCUUCGGCAAUGGACGAAAGUCUGACCGAGCAACGCCGCGUGAGUGAAGAAGGUUUUCGGAUCGUAAAACUCUGUUGGUAGAGAAGAACGUUGGUGAGAGUGGAAAGCUCAUCAAGUGACGGUAACUACCCAGAAAGGGACGGCUAACUACGUG
RNAcentral lists this ribosomal RNA (497 nucleotides) under uncultured bacterium. Its description in RNAcentral is "partial 16S ribosomal RNA". It matches the Rfam family "Bacterial small subunit ribosomal RNA", at positions 28 to 507 of the family's 1533-position model. The record is from RNAcentral.